AUGAACGCUAGCGACAGGCUUAACACAUGCAAGUCGAGGGGCAGCAUGAGGUACCGAUACCUUGAUGGCGACCGGCGCACGGGUGAGUAACGCGUAUGCAACCUGCCUGAUACCGGGGUAUAGCCCAUGGAAACAUGGAUUAACACCCCAUAUUACUUUUAUCCUGCCUGGGAUGGGAGUUAAAUGUUCAAGGUAUCAGAUGGGCAUGCGUCCUAUUAGUUAGUUGGCGGGGUAACAGCCCACCAAGACGAUGAUAGGUAGGGGUUCUGAGAGGAAGGUCCCCCACAUUGGAACUGAGACACGGUCCAAACUCCUACGGGAGGCAGCAGUGAGGAAUAUUGGUCAAUGGACGUAAGUCUGAACCAGCCAAGUCGCGUGAGGGAAGACUGCCCUAUGGGUUGUAAACCUCUUUUAUAAGGGAAGAAUAAGUUCUACGUGUAGAAUGAUGCCUGUACCUUAUGAAUAAGCAUCGGCUAACUCCGUGCCAUCAGCCGCGGUAAUACGGAGGAUGCCAGCGUUAUCCGGAUUUAUUGGGUUUAAAGGGUGCGUAGGCGGUUUAUUAACUUAGUGGUUAAAUAUUUGAGCUAAACUCAAUUGUGCCAUUAAUACUGGUAAACUGGAGUACAGACGAGGUAGGCGGAAUAAGUUAAGUAGCGCUGAAAUGCAUAGAUAUAACUUAGAACUCCGAUAGCGAAGGCAGCUUACCAGACAGUAACUGACGCUGAUGCACGAGAGCGU
This 738-nucleotide ribosomal RNA is filed under the name uncultured organism. RNAcentral's name for it is "SSU rRNA". It matches the Rfam family "Bacterial small subunit ribosomal RNA", at positions 29 to 762 of the family's 1533-position model. The record is from RNAcentral.